Molecule: unclassified non-coding RNA, 318 nt
Filed under: uncultured Tomentella
Lineage: Eukaryota; Fungi; Basidiomycota; Agaricomycetes; Thelephorales; Thelephoraceae
Description: sequence contains 5.8S rRNA gene
Source: RNAcentral
GAACGCACCUUGCGCCCUUUGGCCAUUCCGAAGGGCAUGCCUGUUUGAGUAUCAUGAACACCUCAACUCUCAUGGUUCGCCAUGAUGAGCUUGGACUUUGGGGGCCUUGCCGGCUUGACUGUCGGCUCCUCUCAAAUGAAUCAGCUUGCCAGUGUUUGGUGGCAUCACAGGUGUGAUAACUAUCUACGCUUGUGACCGUUCACCAGGUAACCUUCAGCGAUGGAGGUUCGCUGGAGCUCACAGACGUCUCUCCUCAGCGAGGACAGCUUUUUUGAACGUUUGAUCUCAAAUCAGGUAGGACUACCCGCUGAACUUAAG